This 303-nucleotide ribosomal RNA is filed under the name uncultured bacterium. RNAcentral describes it as "partial 16S ribosomal RNA". It matches the Rfam family "Bacterial small subunit ribosomal RNA", at positions 507 to 807 of the family's 1533-position model. The record is from RNAcentral.
AGCAGCCGCCACGGGAAUACGUAGGGUGCGAGCGUUAAUCGGAAUUACUGGGCGUAAAGCGUGCGCAGGCGGUUGUGUAAGACAGGUGUGAAAUCCCCGGGCUUAACCUGGGAACUGCGCUUGUGACUGCACAGCUAGAGUAUGGCAGAGGGGGGUGGAAUUCCACGUGUAGCAGUGAAAUGCGUAGAGAUGUGGAGGAACACCGAUGGCGAAGGCAGCCCCCUGGGCCAAUACUGACGCUCAUGCACGAAAGCGUGGGGAGCAAACAGGAUUAGAUACCCGAGUAGUCCCUGUCUCUUAUAC